GACGAACGCUGGCGGCGUGCCUAACACAUGCAAGUCAAGGGGAAACGGGUAGCAAUAUCCGGAGUACACUGGCGCACGGGUGAGUAACGCGUAGGUAACCUGCCCAUAGGACGGGGAUAAUUCAGCGAAAGCUGGACUAAUACCCGAUGUUGAGACGUCAUCACAUGGUGGUGUCUUGAAAUGCCCGCAAGGGUGCCGAUGGAUGGGCCUGCGUCCCAUUAGGUAGUUGGUAGGGUAACGGCCUACCAAGCCUGCGAUGGGUAGCUGGUCUGAGAGGAUGAUCAGCCACACUGGAACUGAGACACGGUCCAGACUCCUACGGGUGGCAG
RNAcentral lists this ribosomal RNA (329 nucleotides) under uncultured Chlorobiota bacterium. RNAcentral describes it as "bacterial SSU rRNA". It matches the Rfam family "Bacterial small subunit ribosomal RNA", at positions 28 to 351 of the family's 1533-position model. Lineage: Bacteria; Pseudomonadati; Chlorobiota. The record is from RNAcentral.